UCUUGGGUUGCAGGUGAACUACAACUCCUAUAAAUCCCUCCAAAGACCUCCAGUAUUUUUUGUUUGUCGUGAGGGUUCUGUGUGUCAAGAUAGUUCCAGGUUCAUCGUUGGUUGGAGUUCAGAGUGCUCUUUGAUUGCAGGCGAACUAUACAUCCCAGUACCUACAACCCAUAUAAAUCGUGGUGAAUUCUCCCCAAACUUCUCUAGGAUCGAAUAUAUGGAUUGCAACCAAAUUUUUCACUUUGCGGCAACUGAAGUCAACCUGAGUUCGAAGAAAAAAAUCAGGACGUUUUAGAGGCCUCUGGAAAAGGGAGAUAUAUAUAUAUAUAUUUAAUUCAGGUAAGAGAUGCAUUUCUUUUGGAAAGGGAGAGCGUCUCCCUCUAUUUCCUUUCGCUCUGGACUUCCUCCAGCUCUUCGCUGCUGCUGCUGCUGCUGCUUCCACUGGAUUCGGCCUUCUUCUGAUAACUGAAAUCUAGGCUGUUGGAAGGAAAAAGGGAAGAAGCAGGGAGGAAAUAGAUAAAUACACAAAUAAAAGAAAUAUCCCA
Long non-coding RNA from Anolis sagrei ordinatus, 545 nucleotides. RefSeq lists it as uncharacterized. The record is from RefSeq and is a predicted model, not a curated record. NCBI's taxonomy places the organism in Eukaryota, Metazoa, Chordata, Lepidosauria, Squamata, Anolidae.